GCUAAUUGUUGCCUUUUCAUUUCAACAGGAGACAAACUCACAUCCUUCCCACCAAAGAAAUCAGCCCUUACUGUUGCUAGCAGUGCUGAACUAUGGUCAUGCAGUGGAAGAGUUGGUGAUCUCCCAGUACGUCGGUUUCCUAUAAAAACUAACACCCUACAGUCAGGACUGCCAGCAUUACUAUGGAAACUCCCAAACACAAAGACUUUCCCAGCCUUGUGAGAGCACACCUGCAAGAGCAAGAAUUGCCUGUCAGAAGCGACUCUCCUUCAUUAUUGGUGUCACCUAAGGACAUUUUUUGUGGAUCUUGGGCUCAGGAAUAGCACUUUAAAUUGAAGAAAUUUUUUGAAUCAAUGCAUUUAAAGCCUGCUCACACAGGACCCAUGUUUAUUUCAGGUAACCUUGACGAAUACUUUGUUCUACAGUUGCACUCAUAAAUCCAUCUGCCAUUACCCAAACCCCUCACAAACUGUUUAGUGAGCUCAGGAGUUUUCCAGUUAGCAGCGAUGACAAAGCACUAGACUACUGCAAAACCCAUGACGGAGAAGCUGAGCAAUAACAGACGCCAGCCAAAUAGAUCACUGGGGUGGAAGGUCAUCCUUGAACAGUAUUUCCAUUUUUCCCCUCUUGGUAAAUUGCUCUGGGAACAAUCCUCUUUUCUAGCAUAAUGUAAUCAAGAAUUAGAAAGUCACCACCACUUACACAGAGCUACAGUUCCUGGCCUGGCUGGCUGCGUUGGGAAUUUUAACUGAUGUCUCCACCCAAGCAGCAUGUGGAACCAAUGUAAUGGCUAACACAAUUCAGAGCUUAAAAUGGAGUGAUGUUGCGGUUCCAGCUGUUUUUGUAAGUCAGUACAAAAGACUUUUGGAAGCUUUAGAGGAGAAAUAGAAACGGUGAGGUGAGGAAUGGCUCCUAGUCUGAUGACGUACACUAAGGAAUAUGUGAGAGACAAUGCAAAGAGCAAGACAAAAGUAAAGCAUCACCAGCCAGUAUUACACAGCACCAUGCUCAGCACCAAGAAAGUGAUGACUGGUGGGACAUACUUCAUGGGAAAGAGGUAUUUUAUUUUUUAUGUCUGAUUUUAGAAAAGGCACAGCCCUGUACCUAUGGAAAGGUGAAGAUAUGUAACAACCUAGGGGUAGACAAUAAAGCUUUCAUUCUGAUAAAGAAGAAAGAUUCACCGUAAGUAGACUUGGCCCAAGUACCCUUAACAGGUACCAUCCUGACUCACAGUGCUCUACAAAUCCCUUAAUUACCAGAAAGCUGCAUCUCCUUACGUACCAGCUUAAUCCAAGUUAACUCUGGAAGCGCCUGUUUCUUUCCUGAGAACUGACCUAUACUUUUUGACCAAACAAGUUUCAACUUUCUUCCCUAGUCCUAACAUGCAGAGACCCCAAAACCACUGGCAAGGCGUGAUGACAACAAGCAUUUACAUUAUUACCAAAUAUAUUUCCAUGUAGGUCCCUGGUUAUAAGCAGUAGUUCUGUUAGCUACUAAUCGUGAUGCAGUUGUUUAGCAAUUUAAUAAGUACUUAGUAUUUAAGAAGUAUUAAAUGGUUAUACUUUUAUAUAUAAUAUGGUUAUAUUAUGGUAUAAUAUAUAAUGUUAUGUAUUAUAACAUUGCAUAUUGUAAUGGUUAACUGCCCUUCCAGCAGACUCUGUCUUCCCAACAGUACUUACUCUUUGAUGGCAAGAAAUACACAGUUUUGCAGAGAAGGCUGUGGGCAAGAAAGGUCAAGCCUUAGGAAGGAGGCUCCUUUGUGCAUGUGUGUUUCUACCUGUACACUUCAUACCUGCAUUUACCACAGCUGAUCUUUAUCUGCAUGCAAGAAUCCCGACGGCUACACCAUUUAUUGAGAUCAAGGCAAACUUCCUUGUUUUCAGAGUUCAUCCAUCAGGACUAACAGUCCAGGAGGCAUCUUCCCUGGGCAUUAGGGCAGGGAAGCAUUCAUAUGAACUCCAGAUCACUGCAGUAAAACGCAAUCUUACAAAGGGAGCACAUGCAACAUCUCAACAGAUCACAGCCUUGAAAAGGAUCCAAGACCAGUCAGCAACUGCAUCUUCCCUACGUGAAAUCAGUCCAUCUUAUAAAACCAUCUCACAGGGAAGGAAACGUCCAACAGUAACAUGAAAUGAAUGUAACAACAAAACCAGCAUUAGAGCUCUCUGACAAACUGCGUGGGAAACACAGUUCCUGGGAAUAUGGAUUACAGGCAACUCUUCAAGACCUAUUUUGAAAGGAUGUGUGUGGUAUUGAGGCAGCUGGAAUUUGCAUACAGAUAAAACAGAAACGUAACCCUGGAGGCCAGAACUAUGAUCUUGACCUUUUGGCAAUUGAUGACAACAGAAUUAUGAUCAGCGGGAUGCUGACUCCCAGUGUUUCCCAAGCACCUUCUGCAGGAACUGGAGGAACAUCUUGUAUACGUUGAGCAUGAAACAGAAGGUCCCUCAGUUCAUCAACACCACAGUGCCCAACAGGCACUGCUCUUUUGAGAAACAUUAGUCCUAGACUCAGCAGUUUGCCUGAAUUUCAACCAAAUGAAGCCUCACGACUGCUAAAACCAGAUGAAGGGUAACCAGACCUGGCCUGGCACUGCUGCUGACGCCCUUGCGCACUAACGCAGACCCUGUGAACUCGACUGAAUGGGCAAAGCAUCCCAAAGGUCGGGGAAUAAAAGCUGUUUCAGACCACCCCAUUAAGAGUCCACCCCGGCAUCCGUACAGGCUGCCGGCGCCAAUGAUCCUGUACUGGAUUCAGGGCCAUGUUCUAUGCUCUUCAGGAUUCUCCAUCCCAAGACUGAAGUUCAGGUUCCUGCUGCCCAGCAAAAUCUGGAGAAAAACUGUUGGUUUGAAAUCACGGUAGAAUCAGAAAACACAUUGCUCCAACCUCAAAUUCAGAGAUAGAGCUGCUGUAUGAAGUCAAAAACAAACUUUGCUAUGAUGAAGCUGCAACCAAAAGGUAAUACCAAAUUCACAGACAACACAAAAGUGACAACUUCUUUCCUGUUAAAAAAUUCUUACAUUUAAAAAAUAAGCUUAAUUCUUUUUUGGUGGAGACAGUGUUAUUUUUGGCUACAAAUAUGCAUUGCAUAGCGUGUUUAGAAGUAAGUUAGCCCUUUUAUUAAAUGCAUUAUUAGAGUAGGUCUAUGAUACAUGUUAUAUAAGCACCCAGAAAUAUUGAUUUCUUUCGUCAAAACCGCCAAGCUUCCAAGUCAGAAAACACAUCUAAGCCUAUGUUGAAAUAGUGGCACUACCUGUUGACCUAAAUGGUGUAAGCAUUUGGGCAACAAGGGCCUAAAGUAUGAUGCCAAGUGAUAAUCAGUGACCUCGACAUGGCCCGCGAU
This is a long non-coding RNA of Falco peregrinus (peregrine falcon), 3343 nucleotides long. RefSeq lists it as uncharacterized. The record is from RefSeq and is a predicted model, not a curated record. The transcript is spliced from 8 exons. NCBI's taxonomy places the organism in Eukaryota, Metazoa, Chordata, Aves, Falconiformes, Falconidae.